CAAGAGCGUAUGUAAAAGUUGUUGCAGUUAAAAAGCUCGUAGUUGAACCUUGGGUUUGGUUGGCCGGUCCGCUUUUUUGCGAGUACUGGAUUCAACCGAGCCUUUCCUUCUGGCUAACCAGUCGUUUCGGCGGCUGGCGAACCAGGAUUUUUACUUUGAGAAAAUUAGAGUGUUCAAAGCAGGCAUUAGCUUGAAUAUAUUAGCAUGGAAUAAUAGAAUAGGACGUUAUGGUUCUAUUUUGUUGGUUUCUAGGACCAUCGUAAUGAUUAAUAGGGACGGUCGGGGGCAUCAGUAUUCAGUUGUCAGAGGUGAAAUUCUUGGAUUUACUGAAGACUAACUACUGCGAAAGCAUUUGCCAAGGACGCUUUCAUUAA
This 374-nucleotide ribosomal RNA is filed under the name uncultured eukaryote. Its description in RNAcentral is "partial 18S ribosomal RNA". It matches the Rfam family "Eukaryotic small subunit ribosomal RNA", at positions 592 to 976 of the family's 1831-position model. The record is from RNAcentral.